UCUUUUUAAUUGAAGUGUGUGGAGUUAAAAUAAAAAGUAUGGCGGUCUCCAAUCUUGUCAGAGGGACAUGCAUCGUAAAACGAAUUUGCACGAUGAUCUGUUCUAGUCUUGAAUAACCCAUUAUGUACACCGCUGUCUGAAAGAAAUUAUAGAAGUAUUUUCUUUUUUCCUGUUAGGGAAAUAAGGCAAGUUAAGGUGCAGAUUAUGGCUAGGGUGGUGUGUGUUCCAGUGGAAAUUAUGGGCUGAUUGAUGGAAAGACAUUGGGAAAGAGAAUUUGAUAGUAAGGUAAGUGAAUUAAACUAACUUGAAGAUGAGCUAUAGGAGGUGU
This 328-nucleotide ribosomal RNA is filed under the name Guimaraesiella sp. IZGAS 19_J1301. RNAcentral's name for it is "partial small subunit ribosomal RNA". The record is from RNAcentral. Lineage: Eukaryota; Metazoa; Arthropoda; Insecta; Psocodea; Philopteridae.